Molecule: ribosomal RNA, 305 nt
Filed under: uncultured bacterium
Lineage: Bacteria
Description: bacterial SSU rRNA
Rfam family: Bacterial small subunit ribosomal RNA
Source: RNAcentral
CCUACGGGGCGCAGCAGUGGGGGAUAUUGCACAAUGGGGGAAACCCUGAUGCAGCGACGCCGCGUGAGCGAUGAAGUAUUUCGGUAUGUAAAGCUCUAUCAGCAGGGAAGAAAAUGACGGUACCUGACUAAGAAGCCCCGGCUAACUACGUGCCAGCAGCCGCGGUAAUACGUAGGGGGCAAGCGUUAUCCGGAUUUACUGGGUGUAAAGGGAGCGUAGACGGCCAGACAAGUCUGAAGUGAAAAUCCAGCGCUUAACGUUGGAAGUGCUUUGGAAACUGCCGGGCUAGAGUGCAGGAGGGGCAG